AGAACGAACGCUGGCGGCAUGCCUAAUACAUGCAAGUCGAACGAAGGCUUCGGCCUUAGUGGCGCACGGGUGCGUAACGCGUGGGAAUCUGCCCCUUGGUUCCGGAAUAGCAGUUGGAAACGACUGCUAAUACCGGAUGAUGACGAAAGUCCAAAG
Molecule: ribosomal RNA, 156 nt
Filed under: uncultured soil bacterium
Lineage: Bacteria
Description: partial 16S ribosomal RNA
Rfam family: Bacterial small subunit ribosomal RNA
Source: RNAcentral